UACGGGGGGAGCAAGCGUUGUUCGGAUUUACUGGGCGUAAAGGGCGCGUAGGCGGUCGUGACAAGUCACUUGUGAAAUCUCCGGGCUUAACUCGGAACGGUCAAGUGAUACUGUCGGACUAGAGUACAGAAGGGGCAACUGGAAUUCUCGGUGUGGCGGUGAAAUGCGUAGAUAUCGAGAGGAACACCUGCGGCGAAGGCGGGUUGCUGGGCUGAUACUGACGCUGAGGCGCGAAAGCCAGGGGAGCGAACGGG
Molecule: ribosomal RNA, 254 nt
Filed under: uncultured bacterium
Lineage: Bacteria
Description: partial 16S ribosomal RNA
Rfam family: Bacterial small subunit ribosomal RNA
Source: RNAcentral